This 1842-nucleotide ribosomal RNA is filed under the name hot springs metagenome. RNAcentral describes it as "bacterial LSU rRNA". It matches the Rfam family "Bacterial large subunit ribosomal RNA", at positions 1 to 1989 of the family's 2925-position model. The record is from RNAcentral.
UUGAGUGAAGCAAGGGCAUUCGGUGGAUGCCUUGGCGUCAGGAGGCGAUGAAGGACGUGGCACGCUGCGAAAAGCCACGGGGAGCUGCGAGCGAGCGUUGAUCCGUGGAUGUCCGAAUGGGGCAACCCACCCCUUUUGGGGUAUCUCCGUCUGAAUUCAUAGGGCGGGGAGGCGAACCCGGGGAACUGAAACAUCUCAGUACCUGGAGGAGAAGACAUCAACCGAGAUUCCGUGAGUAGUGGCGAGCGAAAGCGGAGGAGGCCAGUGGUUGGACGAGGAGAAGCAGAACGGUCUGGGAAGGCCGGCCGCAGAGGGUGACAGCCCCGUAUGCGUAGGGCCUCGUUCGAUCCUUGAGUAGGGCGGGACACGUGAAAUCCUGUCUGAAGAUGGGGGGACCACCCUCCAAGCCUAAAUACUCCCUGACGACCGAUAGUGGACGAGUACCGUGAGGGAAAGGUGAAAAGCACCCCGACGAGGGGAGUGAAAGAGACCUGAAACCGGAUGCCUACAAACAGUCGGAGCCUUCCUUGGGGUUUUCCCCGAGGUGGGGUGACGGCGUACCUUUUGUAUAAUGGGUCAGCGAGUUUCCGUUGGCAGCGAGCUUAAGCCGUGAGGUGGAGGCGUAGCGAAAGCGAGUCUGAAGAGGGCGCUGAGUUGCCGGCGGAAGACCCGAAACCGGGUGAUCUAGCCAUGGCCAGGCUGAAGGUGGGGUAACACCCACUGGAGGGCCGAACCCACGCCUGUUGAAAAAGGCGGGGAUGAGCUGUGGCUAGGGGUGAAAGGCCAAUCAAACUCGGAAAUAGCUGGUUCUCCGCGAAAUCUAUUGAGGUAGAGCGUCGCGUGCUGAGCCUCGGGGGUAGAGCACUGGAUGGGCUAGGGGGCCUCACCGGCUUACCAAACCUAACCAAACUCCGAAUACCGAGGUAUCGAGCGCGGCAGACAGUCCAUGGGUGCUAAGGUCCAUGGACGAGAGGGAAACAGCCCAGACCGCCAGCUAAGGUCCCCAAAUCGUGGCUAAGUGGGAAAGGAUGUGGGAAUUCCAAAACAACCAGGAGGUUGGCUUAGAAGCAGCCAUCCUUUAAAGAAAGCGUAAUAGCUCACUGGUCUAACAGAAAUCCUGCGCCGAAGAUGUAACGGGGCUCAAGCCACGUACCGAAGCUGCGGGUGUGCGAUGCUCUCGAGCAUCGCGCGCGGUAGCGGAGCGUUCCGUAGGCCGAUGAAGGGAGCGGGGUGACCCCUCCUCGAGGUAUCGGAAGUGCGAAUGCUGACAUGAGUAGCGACAAACAGGGUGAGAAACCCUGUCGCCGAAAGUCCAAGGGUUCCUGCGCCAGGUUAAUCCGCGCAGGGUGAGCCGGUCCCUAAGGCGAGGGCGAAAGCCGUAGUCGAUGGGAAGGGGGUUAAUACUCCCCCGCCUGCUGGACGUGACGAACGGGACCGCCUGUCCGGGCUUAACGGAUUGUCCGGGCACGCCGAACGUUCCAGGAAACAGCGCCAGCACCAAGACCGUACCCGAAACCGACACAGGUGGACUGGUAGAGUAUACCCAGGCGCUUGAGAGAACGAUGCCGAAGGAACUAGGCAAAUUGCCCGCGUAACUUCGGGAGAAGCGGGACCUCUCUUUGGGCAACCAGAGAGGGGUGGCACAGAGCAGGGGGUAGCGACUGUUUACUAAAAACACAGGGCUCUGCGAAGUCGAAAGACGACGUAUAGGGUCUGACGCCUGCCCGGUGCCGGAAGGUUAAGGGGAGGGGUGCAAGCUCCGAACCGAAGCCCCGGUAAACGGCGGCCGUAACUAUAACGGUCCUAAGGUAGCGAAAUUCCUUGUCGGGUAAGUUCCGACCU